RNAcentral lists this ribosomal RNA (548 nucleotides) under uncultured Oceanospirillum sp. RNAcentral describes it as "bacterial SSU rRNA". It matches the Rfam family "Bacterial small subunit ribosomal RNA", at positions 1 to 523 of the family's 1533-position model. Lineage: Bacteria; Pseudomonadati; Pseudomonadota; Gammaproteobacteria; Oceanospirillales; Oceanospirillaceae. The record is from RNAcentral.
GGGGAAGGCUCGCGUGUGCCUGGAGAUUAGAGUUUGAUCCUGGCUCAGAUUGAACGCUGGCGGCAGGCCUAACACAUGCAAGUCGAGCGGUAGAGAGAAGCUUGCUUCUCUUGAGAGCGGCGGACGGGUGAGUAACGCGUAGGAAUCUGCCCGGUAGUGGGGGAUAGCCCAGAGAAAUUUGGAUUAAUACCGCAUACGCCCUAAGGGGGAAAGCAGGGGAUCUUCGGACCUUGCGCUAUCGGAUGAGCCUGCGUGAGAUUAGCUUGUUGGUGAGGUAAUGGCUCACCAAGGCGACGAUCUCUAGCUGGUCUGAGAGGAUGAUCAGCCACACCGGAACUGAGACACGGUCCGGACUCCUACGGGAGGCAGCAGUGGGGAAUAUUGGACAAUGGGCGCAAGCCUGAUCCAGCCAUGCCGCGUGUGUGAAGAAGGCCUUCGGGUUGUAAAGCACUUUCAGUAGGGAGGAAAGGUUGUAAGCUAAUAUCUUGCAGCUGUGACGUUACCUACAGAAGAAGGACCGGCUAACUCCGUGCCAGCAGCCGCGGUAA